GGGGUCUUGAUGUAACGGCAACAUGGUCGGCUCCAGACCGGCUCACGGGAGUUCGAAUCUCUCAGACCCCA
Molecule: transfer RNA, 71 nt
Filed under: Candidatus Huberarchaeum julieae
Lineage: Archaea; Nanobdellati; Candidatus Huberarchaeota; Candidatus Huberarchaeia; Candidatus Huberarchaeales; Candidatus Huberarchaeaceae
Description: Euryarchaeota archaeon HGW-Euryarchaeota-1 tRNA-Trp
Rfam family: tRNA
About the family: Transfer RNA (tRNA) molecules are approximately 80 nucleotides in length.
Source: RNAcentral